UAUUAGGCAAAUCUGAAGAAGAAGAAAUAUCCCGCCAUUGAAACUCUCCGAUUCACUCCAUAGCUACAAUCUUGAGCACAACCCAUGUCACUAGACCACCCUACCUUCUCCUUCGUCUUCUUAGAUCAGUUCUUCGUGAAACUUAUCUCUUGUUUAAUCUCUACAGCUGGAAACCUUAAUUCAGUAUUUUUAUUUCUAAUCUAGGGUUUCAAUCAUAAAAAUGAGCAGGAGAUUACUUCGAUUGAUCGAUAGAAGGAUGAAAGUUAAAAAAUACGUUAUGGUUGGUGGAAGCUGGAGGAUUGACAUUAGAUGAGCAAAAAAGGGGCCAAAAGGAACACAUUUUAUAUCAAUCUCACAAUUUCCAGUAACGAAAUCUGGAAAGGACUUUAUUUUCUACAACUUCAGCCUUGGUUAUUCCUAGAGCUCUAGCAAAAGCGCAUGCCUGUGAGGUAAUUCAUUAGUUAAUUACUUUGAUGUUCGCUCUAACCGUUAUCCUAACUUUGUAAAUGAAAACUUUGUUCUGCCGCGGACGGUGGGCCUGGGUCUGAUUUUGUAUAUUUAUUUAGACUGCAUACAAAACUUUCUUUUUCGUCGACAUGCUGGCAGGUCUUGAUGUGUAUAUUACUAUCUGUAUGGAAGUUUCUUGUUGUCUAGUCUAACUACAUUUGCAAGCUCUUCCAUGUAUUACUCGAUUUAGUUUCUGCCUUGCAUAUUGUUAAGUGUCCAACUGUUGCAUACUAAUUAAAAUCUUGUUUGAAUUGGGUACUUAAUACUACUAUUUUUGGUGUAUCUUACAACGAUUCCAUGUGCAGCAGGCACUGUUAGAGAAUUAAUACAUAUAAAAAUGUUUUUGGUUUGUGUGAGCAUUUUCAUGUUUAAGACCAUGGGAUUCAAUAAAGUUACGUUGAUUUUCGGAAAUGAGGGAAUGCAAAUCUCACUUUGGUAGUAGUAAUAUGAAUUUCAACAUUCUUUUAUAUCCAUGUUGGUUUUUUGUGGCAUCAUAUACUUCUCAUAGGCUAUAAAAACCCCACUCAUGGUUCGUAUCAAGUGCUGGUCAUUUUCUAGGCAUUGGACGAGUACUUUAAGUUCAGUCCCUCAGCCUACAAAACUAUUGCUGUAAUAUGGUUUAAGUGUACUAAGUGCUCAGUUUGUUUUCUACCUUAUAUACUUUUGGAUUUACCCAUAUAGAUAAUCUGACUGUUAGAUUUGUGUACUUUGACGGUGUCAAUUUAUGAGUGCUAUUGUUCUAAGAAGAUAACUUGAUUUAAGAUGGUUAGCAGUAAUGGAUACAUGUUUCAUAGAGUGUUUUUGGUGCAACGGAACGAAUGGUUUUACACUUCAAAACGUGAAUCUUGACUUUUAUAUAAUGUUUAGUAAAUCUGUAUAAAUGUCGAUUGGCGAUCCAUUUUUUUAGUACCCAGUAUUAAAGUAUUCUGGGGAUCUUCCCUCUUCUCUAUCUUUAUGGAGCUGUGACCAUAAAUUUUUCAUUUCUUUUUUUUUCUUCUGUUUUGGUUGUUGGUUUUGAACAUUUGUGAUCGUUUAUUUCUAAAAUGAAUGUAUAUUUUUGUUUUAACUUCUGAGUGACGUACUGGGGGUUUGGCCUUGCUAGUGGGUUGAAAACCAACCCGUUAGAGGUUAAAUUUUUUGGUCCGUAACAGGAGCGCUAAUGGGUGUAUGGUCGUAUGCAGGUUUAUGAGAUUUUUUGAUCCUUAUCUUUUAAGCAGGAUGCUAAUUUAUAAUAUUCGUACAGAGGCGGGGACAAUUUUUUUGCAUCUUCAUAACUUUGUUCUGAAAUUACAUUCUCUUGACGAGAGAUUAAGAAUGGCGAUUGAUAGCAUCGUUGUUGUCAGGUUCUUGGAUACACUUUCUUAUCAUCAUACAAUCAUAUUGUUAUCUCUAAUGGAUGUGAACUAAUAUGUUCUGAAAUUACAUUCCCUUGGAGGUGGGAGAUUAUGCGCCGUGUGAUAAGUAACAGUGCAGUAGCACCCACCACAAAAGGAAAAAUUAAAGUAACACACGUUGCUUAUGGCUUGACAAAAGGAUCCUGUAUGCGCAUGCCAAUGGGAAUAAUGGUUUAACUACAACUUAUGUUAAAGGUUAUUAUGCGAUUUAGAUGACCAUUUCGGUUUCUGUUCUAUUGAUUAUUGUUCUUGAUAAUCCUUCAAAUUUUUGCACUCUUAUGUUAUUUUUAUUCAUUGGUGUUUGAUAUAUAUUCCAGAUGGGUCACGGAUGUAUAACUACCUCACAUUUGAUUUACACAAUAUAGUUUUAAGCUUGUUUUGGGCUCACCAUCUGUUGUUGAAACUUGGUUUCACUCUUGACCAUGCGUGUUCUGUGAUGUAAUAGUAGUAUGCUCAAAGCAAGAAGGUUGCAUUCAGGUCAUUCGGCUGGGGUUCAAAUUUAUUGUGCUGCUCAUGAAUUCCAUUAAUGGCUGAGUCGUAGUCAUGAUGUUGGUAACUCUCUCCUAUCUGUUUUCUUUUAUCGAUUUUUUUUGUAGUUUGUUGAACUAGGGUUUUUUAUUUUGUGUAGUUUUGAGUUCUUACGCUUAUGUAUAAUUCCGACAUUAUAAUCUAGGGAAGCUCAUUGUUCCCUGUAUAAGCAGAAAACUGAACAAGUAUAUCCUAUUGAGUGACAAAAAUAACUGUAUAGCAUUUUUCUGAAAAAAAUCCUCAUUGAUAAGAUGAUAAACUAAGUCAGUUUGAUAUCAUAGAACUCAGACUAAAUUUGCUUUGGUAUCUUAUGCUAAUUCCUCUCACUAUAAUCUGAAAUGUAGAUGAACGAGAGAAAGAAGAGAGCACAAACGUAGAGAGAACAAGGAGUUGAUAAGAACUUAAGUGUUGAAGUUUUACUCCCAUAUUUGUACUAGCUAGGCCUCGUUAUUUGGACUUGUCGUAUUCCGGUACCCAAGGAAAAGUAGUGACUUUAUUGAUUUUCUUUGAACUGCUCAGCUGAAUGCAUGUUUAGUUCAGUAUGUUGGGCUUACAGCUGGAAUAUCCGGAUUGCAGGGGAGACCAAUGUUUAGGUAAUUAAGAUGUUUAGUCUUAUGUUCAUUCUUAAUUUUUCCUUUCCAGCGAUUUCAAUUCUGAUGCACUUUUUGUGUGCUGGUAAUGGAGCCCUUAGUAGAUCAAGAAGAUAAGUUUCCAAAUCUGAUCAUUGUCUUAUUAUCUUGCUUUUUGUGUGAUCUUCAUCUUUAUAUCUCUACCUUAUAUUAAUUCUUUGUCAUAACUUUGCAAAUCUGAUCAUUGUCUUAUUAUCUUUGCUGUCAACAUCAUAUGAAUAGCAAAUUUCAAUUGCGCAGCUUGAACUUUAACUACAUCUAAAGUCUAAAUUGUGCAGGACAGCUACAUUAGUUAGCUAUUGAACUACAACCGAUCAACCAGUUCACUAUGUAACCUGAAGAAUCCAAGGAGAGCUGCAAUACCAUCAUUUUAACUACAUUUAUAAGUCUCAUAAUACUAAGUUUAGUUUUCUUCUUCUUUUCCACUUAAUUUUUAUUACAUUGUCAUUUUACUUGUGAUAGUUGAAAUUGGUUGAUUGCAGGGAAACAACUUCAUUUUUUUUGAGGUGUGAUAACAUAGGACUUACCUUGUCAUAUACCGAUUUCUUCCCGUUCCAGCAAAUCUUUGGAGCAUAUGCAUAAUCUUUCAGGAGGUUAUCUCCUCAUCUGAGAGAUAAUGUAUAUGCUACAAUGGUUUACUGGAAUUUAACUAUGUCAAAGAUAAAGUAAGUGAUGUGAAGGAGAUUGAAAGGCGUGGAAUUGAACCAAGUGAUGGAGCAAAAUUAGUAAGUUAUUGACCUCAAUAUGUGCAUAUUUUGUAACACAAAAAUUGUAAUUGAACUCCCCUACCAUGUUAUCAUUUCAUAACACAGAAAUUUAAAAGUGGCAUAACACUUGUUUGUA
This is a long non-coding RNA of Papaver somniferum (opium poppy), 3901 nucleotides long. RefSeq lists it as uncharacterized. The record is from RefSeq and is a predicted model, not a curated record. The transcript is spliced from 3 exons. NCBI's taxonomy places the organism in Eukaryota, Viridiplantae, Streptophyta, Magnoliopsida, Ranunculales, Papaveraceae.